This 253-nucleotide ribosomal RNA is filed under the name uncultured bacterium. Its description in RNAcentral is "partial 16S ribosomal RNA". It matches the Rfam family "Bacterial small subunit ribosomal RNA", at positions 524 to 776 of the family's 1533-position model. The record is from RNAcentral.
UACGUAGGCAGCAAGCGUUGUUCGGAGUUACUGGGCGUAAAGGGUGUGUAGGCGGUUCUUUAAGUUUGGUGUGAAAUCUCCCGGCUCAACUGGGAGGGUGCGCCGAAUACUGAGGGACUAGAGUACGGGAGAGGAAAGUGGAAUUCCUGGUGUAGCGGUGAAAUGCGUAGAUAUCAGGAGGAACACCGGUGGUGUAGACGGCUUUCUGGACCGUAACUGACGCUGAGGCACGAAAGCGUGGGGAGCAAACAGG